This 426-nucleotide ribosomal RNA is filed under the name Streptococcus anginosus. RNAcentral describes it as "bacterial SSU rRNA". It matches the Rfam family "Bacterial small subunit ribosomal RNA", at positions 28 to 436 of the family's 1533-position model. Lineage: Bacteria; Bacillati; Bacillota; Bacilli; Lactobacillales; Streptococcaceae. The record is from RNAcentral.
GACGAACGCGGCGGCGUGCCUAAUACAUGCAAGUAGGACGCACAGCCUAUACCGUAGCUUGCUACACCAUAGGCUGUGAGUUGCGAACGGGUGAGUAACGCGUAGGUAACCUGCCUAUUAGAGGGGGAUAACUAUUGGAAACGAUAGCUAAUACCGCAUAACAGUAUGUAACACAUGUUAGAUGCUUGAAAGAUGCAAUUGCAUCGCUAGUAGAUGGACCUGCGUUGUAUUAGCUAGUAGGUAGGGUAAAGGCCUACCUAGGCAACGAUACAUAGCCGACCUGAGAGGGUGAUCGGCCACACUGGGACUGAGACACGGCCCAGACUCCUACGGGAGGCAGCAGUAGGGAAUCUUCGGCAAUGGGGGGAACCCUGACCGAGCAACGCCGCGUGAGUGAAGAAGGUUUUUCGGAUCGUAAAGCUCUGU